GUCAACAUAAUCAAUUAUAUAGCUUGAUAAUUUAGUAAGUUGUGAACUAUUGAACUUAUUUAGAAUUUAGAAAGGUCGAAACACGUAAUUACAGGAGAACAAAACGACGGGCUGAACGCGAAAAUCUGAAAAGCAGAGAAGAAGCAAUAAUUUCGGCUUCUUUCUAGCCAAACACUUCCUCAGUGCCCAGACGCGUUUUCACAACACUAUAAAUACUACCACCCUCUUUUCAUUCUUCCAUCACAUAAUAAAAGAGAAAACCUCACUGCACCUUCAACACUUGUUUCUUCCUUCUCUUUCUUUCUGCACUUUCUGUAGCCAUGGCAUCUCAAGCAUUCUCCGUCAACUUCUUCCUCGUUGCUCUCAUCGCAGCACUUUUCUUCGCCGUGGCCACCGCUGAAGAAUUGUCUCCGGCCCCGGCACCGGGACCUGAUGCUGGAGCAGGCGCUUCCUUGUCAAGCUCUAUGGCCGUGAUUGGAGCUUGGAUUGUGGUUUCAAUGUUCGCGAUAUUGAAGCAGUGAGUUUAUUUGAACGGUGAUCUGAUUGCAAUUGUGUGUUAUGGAAAGAGAGAAAGAGAUUACGAUUUGAUGUAAACUGAACCAUUCAUUGUAGGUGUCGGUGAGAUGUAAGAGGGAUUUCUAAUUCCUUUUAUCUUUCAUCCAUUUUUUUCAUUCAUCUAUUAAUAUAAAUUUAUUAAUUCUUUAUAAUUAAUCAUUAUUCUCUCUUCAUUUUUAUAUUUAUUUACUCUAUAUAAUUAAAAUGGUUUAUGUCUUAUAAUUAAUAAUUAUAUAAAAUCACUAAUAACAUUAAAAUAUCAUUAAGAAUGUUUAUUGCAAUCUUUAUCGAUGAAUAAAAUUAUAGCCAUUACAGGUAAUUUCAUUACAGCUGUGCGCUGCAGCUUCCUUAGCUACUCUAAGCCACUGUGGCAUUUCAAAGCUAAUGCAUCUCUUGCCUUAAUAUGUUGAAAAUUUAUUAUUCGACGCUCACUUUUUUAUUUUAUUUCAUUUUUCAAUUCUUUUUAAGGGUUAAAUAUGUUUUUAGUAUAUGUGUUAUCAAGUGAUUUUGAGUUUAGUCUCUCUUUCAAAAUAUGAUACAUUUUAGUUUUUUAGAAAUUUUGAUUAUAGUUCUCCAAAACUAAUACCAUUAAAAAUUAACUAAUGUGAUUAACGGUUGAGUGACACGGAAUUUUUUUUUUGGACUGAGUCAGAGUUUGUGACUUUUUUGCCUCUCUCUCCUUCCUCCCUUACAUCCAUCUUCCACCAACCUUCCACCAACCUCUCUUCACCCUCUGCAACAUCAUCUUUCUUAAUAAUGGAAACAGCCACACCACCGCUACUACCCUUUUCAUUCAUUUAUUAUAUUUUUACUUUAAACUUCACUUUAUGUAUUUAUGGUCAAAUGUAAAUCCUUCGUUCCUUUUUUUCUUUGCAACUAUUAGCUUCAAUUUCAAUAAGAUGUAAAGUAAUGAUUUUACAGAUUGGCCCUUAGCAGGUUUUGAACACGGUUCACCUACACCCACAUAUUGAUUAUUAUUGUUAUCAUUAUUUCCAUUGAUGGCUUUCGGUGUCUUCGUUCUCCUCAAGCUCAUCUUGCAGCUCCUUCACUUGCUUCUGCAAAUCCUUUACCAUGUAACCUCAGUUUUUUCUUUUUUAUUUCUAUUGAAUUAUGAAGGAUUAAUCUCACCGAUAAACGGGUGGGUUUACCAUCUUUGGCUUCUACUGUAUGUAUAAAUAUGAAUGGUGGAUGGAAGUGAUGCAUACUGUACAGAAUCGUGAUCCACGAGUUCUUUUGAGCAGAGUAGUGAAGAGAGAUGAACUGGUUUUCGUGGCUUUCCUGG
This 1837-nucleotide long non-coding RNA is filed under the name Vigna radiata. RNAcentral describes it as "long non-coding RNA (VRAD_LNC018514)". Lineage: Eukaryota; Viridiplantae; Streptophyta; Magnoliopsida; Fabales; Fabaceae. The record is from RNAcentral.